Molecule: ribosomal RNA, 371 nt
Filed under: uncultured organism
Description: partial 16S ribosomal RNA
Rfam family: Bacterial small subunit ribosomal RNA
Source: RNAcentral
GUAGGUGGCAAGCGUUGUCCGGAAUUAUUGGGCGUAAAGCGCGCGCAGGCGGUUCUUUAAGUCUGAUGUGAAAGCCCACGGCUCAACCGUGGAGGGUCAUUGGAAACUGGAGAACUUGAGUACAGAAGAGGAAAGCGGAAUUCCACGUGUAGCGGUGAAAUGCGUAGAGAUGUGGAGGAACACCAGUGGCGAAGGCGGCUUUCUGGUCUGUAACUGACGCUGAGGCGCGAAAGCGUGGGGAGCAAACAGGAUUAGAUACCCUGGUAGUCCACGCCGUAAACGAUGAGUGCUAAGUGUUAGGGGGUUUCCGCCCCCCUUAGUGCUGCAGCUAACGCAUUAAGCACUCGCCUGGGAGUACGGCCGCAAGGCUG